This 118-nucleotide small nucleolar RNA is filed under the name Piliocolobus tephrosceles (Ugandan red Colobus). Its description in RNAcentral is "Small nucleolar RNA SNORA24 (ENSPTEG00000032596.1)". It matches the Rfam family "Small nucleolar RNA SNORA24", at positions 16 to 131 of the family's 131-position model. From Rfam's summary of the family: ACA24 is a member of the H/ACA class of snoRNA that guide the sites of modification of uridines to pseudouridines. The record is from RNAcentral. Lineage: Eukaryota; Metazoa; Chordata; Mammalia; Primates; Cercopithecidae.
GUUUAUGUCAGCUGUGGCAGUCUCCCUUCCUAGCCAUGGAAGAGCAUAUUCUUAUUUAUUGGCAAAGCUGUCACCAUUUAUCAUCAGUAUCAGAUUCUGACUUGCACAAGUAACAUUA